GAGAUAUUUUUAAUAAAACAUGUUACUCUAGCGGUAAAAAGGUACGCCGGGGAUAACAGGUCGUAGAAUUUCAGGAGCUCUGAUCCUUGAAUUCUAUUAACACCUCCAUGUCGGCUCAUCACACCCUUGUACU
Molecule: ribosomal RNA, 133 nt
Filed under: Eimeria mitis
Lineage: Eukaryota; Apicomplexa; Conoidasida; Eucoccidiorida; Eimeriidae
Description: large subunit ribosomal RNA
Source: RNAcentral